Molecule: long non-coding RNA, 227 nt
Organism: Artibeus jamaicensis (Jamaican fruit-eating bat)
Lineage: Eukaryota; Metazoa; Chordata; Mammalia; Chiroptera; Phyllostomidae
Exons: 3
Source: RefSeq, a predicted model, not a curated record
GCUCGCAAAGUGAAAUCCAAGGAGUGUCUGAGGUGCAGUGCUCCAUGAAUCACAGCUUUUCAUUCUGGUUGUGCUUACCGUGGGUAAGUAAGAGCAGGUUUUGAUACAUGAAGAGUAUACAGAGAGGGGAGGCAGAAGAGGGAGCCCAUCACGGAGAGCAGAAAGAUGAGACACUGAGCAGCAGGAACAGUGACCAAGGAAAUCACACUGUGGACAGUAAGGAAGGC